Molecule: unclassified non-coding RNA, 173 nt
Filed under: soil metagenome
Description: partial internal transcribed spacer 1
Source: RNAcentral
CCGAGUUCAUGCCCUCACGGGUAGAUUCUCCCACCUUGUGUAUUUAUUGUUUGUGUUGCUUUGGCAGGCCGUGGGCCGCGCCCACCACCGGCUCCCGGGCUGGUGCGUGCCUGCCAGAGGACCCUUUUAAACUCUGUUUGCUCAGUGUCGUCUGAGUAUGAUAACAAUCGUUA